Molecule: transfer RNA, 75 nt
Filed under: Rhodospirillales bacterium 20-64-7
Lineage: Bacteria; Pseudomonadati; Pseudomonadota; Alphaproteobacteria; Rhodospirillales
Description: tRNA-Thr
Source: RNAcentral
GCCGGCUCGGUCGCUGGCAGACCGUUUUAAUUCGUAAUCAGUAGGUCCCCGGUUCAAUCCCGGGUGUCGGCACCA